RNAcentral lists this ribosomal RNA (278 nucleotides) under Odoribacter sp. AF21-41. Its description in RNAcentral is "partial 16S ribosomal RNA". It matches the Rfam family "Bacterial small subunit ribosomal RNA", at positions 199 to 477 of the family's 1533-position model. The record is from RNAcentral. Lineage: Bacteria; Pseudomonadati; Bacteroidota; Bacteroidia; Bacteroidales; Odoribacteraceae.
AUUUAAAAUUCCGGUGGUACGGGACGGGCACGCGCGACAUUAGGUAGUUGGCGGGGUAACGGCCCACCAAGCCGACGAUGUCUAGGGGUUCUGAGAGGAAGGUCCCCCACACUGGAACUGAGACACGGUCCAGACUCCUACGGGAGGCAGCAGUGAGGAAUAUUGGUCAAUGGGCGAGAGCCUGAACCAGCCAAGUCGCGUGAGGGAAGAAUGGUCUAUGGCCUGUAAACCUCUUUUGCCAGGGAAGAAUAAAAGGUACGUGUACCUUCUUGCCAGUA